CCCCUCAAUUCUUCCAAUUCUUCAUUUUUGCCCUCUUUACGUUCAGCCCUGACCUAGGCCUUUCUUCCUCUUCCUUUUGCUUGCUCGAGCUUCCCCUUUCUCUCUCCUCCUGCUUCUCUUCUUGGUAUAAUCUCAUCCCCCAUCUCCUGCCGAUUCUCCCACCGCAUCGCCGCUGCCGCCGCAACACCACUAAAUCACUCAAUCACCAAUCUCCCUCCAAUGGGUGCGUCCUUUUGCACUGCUUUUAUACAUUUCCAGCUAUGCUAUCCAUGUUCCUGGGUAGUCUUCACCUCCCUGGGUUCGAAUGAGGUAGUUUCCGGUGGUAUUCACGCUAUUUCUCAACGUCGGGAUGAAUUAUUCAAUUCUAGGGUUCGAUUCCUUGCGGCUCCAGUUCAGGUUGUUUUCGUGAUCCAAUCUCGGUUGGU
This is a long non-coding RNA of Spinacia oleracea (spinach), 425 nucleotides long. RefSeq lists it as uncharacterized. The record is from RefSeq and is a predicted model, not a curated record. The transcript is spliced from 4 exons. NCBI's taxonomy places the organism in Eukaryota, Viridiplantae, Streptophyta, Magnoliopsida, Caryophyllales, Amaranthaceae.